UCGUGGCCACUUAUCUCCAUUUCAACGGGACGAUUCUGGACCGCAGUGAUCACAGCCCCCCUUUCCCUCACUGAGACUUACCAGAAGGGACUCUGCACAGGGAAAGGCUCAUUGGUGGGGCUGCCUGGGAGAACUCCCAAGACACACAGGUGGAGCCUUUCCCGAAGGCCAAGUAUGGAGCAAUUAUCUCGCGUCUUCAUCCAUCAUCGGAAAUCCUAACUGAAGCUUUUGAGCCGAUUUCCAAAGCUUUAUGGACGCCCUUCCCUCUGGAGCUCCCUGGAGCUCCCUGGAGCUGUGCCUCGAGGGCUGUGAUUUACACAGGGGCUGAGGCUUGGGCCUGACUUGGUUCCAGAUCAUAGGGACUGUGACAAGCCUGAAGACCCUUCUCCCCAUCCCAGGAGGAGCCCAGGGACGCAAGCGAGAGCCUCUGCAAGUCACCCCAGCUGCCGCGUUUCCACCCAGGAGGAAGACGCACGUGGGGCGGCACGAGAGAUAGACGGAGGAUUGAAAGAAGCAGCCAGUGAGCCAGGUAAGAUGAGCCAGGACACACAAUGCUGACGGGUCAAGGAAGGUCAGUCCUGGGAGCUGACCACAGAUUGGACUGACCCAGAAGACAGUGCCAGCUCCCUGAGGAGGGGCAGCUGGGUGGAUGCAGUUGAAUGCCAAUCCCUCUUUUUGGUACCAGCACCUGGGUUUUCCUUGGGGAGAAUGCUGCUCCCUUAAUAUACACAUCUUGCCAAGCUGUCACUCAAGAGGCUCAGUUUCCCUUGGGUAAGGCAGGGAUGGGGGGCUCAGCUAAGACCAACAGUCUCUCCCUCCUGAAAUUCUCAUCUUUGACUGGCAUAAGACAAAACAAAACAAAACGACAAAAAAAAAGCCACAAAUUACCCCAGGAAGAGGCGCCGUGAAAAUACUACAUGCUCUUCCUCCUGUUCCCUGGGUUUGUUCUUCUUCCUCUUCCCAUUUCCUGUUUAUUCUAAGACUUCCACUUCAAUUCCUCUAUCCCCUGUGAUUCCAACGACCUGUCUUUGCAGAAGAGCUUUAAUCAGCUGGUCAGUUUCUAAGGCUUUCAUCCAAGGAACCCUCAUUGAUGUGAAACAACAAAGUGAGACUUCCAUCCUCGAAUGUGCAGCCAGGAAGUGGCAGAAAGGAGCUUUGCAUAAAUUUCUUCUCAUUUCAAAUCCUAUGCUCUUUCUCCCACACCUCAGCCAUUUGCCUUUAAAAUCAAUUGCAUCCUGAAGUGAAGAGCUUUGCAAGAACAGUGGUAUCAGAAACAACCAUACUCCCCCAGAGCAAACACAGCACCUCCCAUAACCCCUGGGACUUUUGCUUGGACUCGGGCAAGUGAGUAGACAGCUCGGAUGGGGCGAGCACCUGCUGGUUCAUCCACCAAAUAUGAACAUGGCCCAAGAGUGAGACCCCAAGACCCAAAAUUGCACCAAUGACUAUAGCUAUACAAGAAAAUGCCACUGGACAAAUUUUGCAGAGGUUUCUUUAUUGUUGCUGUUCUCAGCAAACCUGAGAAGUCAUUUCAGUUUGUCUCAGCUUUUGUAGAAGAACAAAAAGUUCAACAUUAAACCAUGUGUGUAAGUA
Molecule: long non-coding RNA, 1593 nt
Filed under: Pan troglodytes (chimpanzee)
Lineage: Eukaryota; Metazoa; Chordata; Mammalia; Primates; Hominidae
Description: lincRNA
Source: RNAcentral